Molecule: non-coding RNA, 72 nt
Organism: Ictidomys tridecemlineatus (thirteen-lined ground squirrel)
Lineage: Eukaryota; Metazoa; Chordata; Mammalia; Rodentia; Sciuridae
Source: Rfam
GGUGAUAGAGCUCAGUUGGUAGAGUGCUUGCCUCACAUCACAAGGCCCUGGGUUCAAUCCCCAGCAUCACAA